GAUGAACGCUGGCGGCGUGCCUAAUACAUGCCAGUCGAGCGAACAGACGAGGAGCUUGCUCCUCUGACGUUAGCGGCGGACGGGUGAGUAACACGUGGAUAACCUACCUAUAAGACUGGGAUAACUUCGGGAAACCGGAGCUAAUACCGGAUAAUAUAUUGAACCGCAUGGUUCAAUAGUGAAAGACGGUUUUGCUGUCACUUAUAGAUGGAUCCGCGCCGCAUUAGCUAGUUGGUAAGGUAACGGCUUACCAAGGCAACGAUGCGUAGCCGACCUGAGAGGGUGAUCGGCCACACUGGAACUGAGACACGGUCCAGACUCCUACGGGAGGCAGCAGUAGGGAAUCUUCCGUAAUGGGCGAAAGCUUGACGGAGCAACGCCGCGUGAGUGAUGAAGGUCUUCGGAUCGUAAAACUCUGUUAUUAGGGAAGAACAAAUGUGUAAGUAACUAUGCACGUCUUGACGGUACCUAAUCAGAAAGCCACGGCUAACUACGUG
RNAcentral lists this ribosomal RNA (497 nucleotides) under uncultured bacterium. RNAcentral's name for it is "partial 16S ribosomal RNA". It matches the Rfam family "Bacterial small subunit ribosomal RNA", at positions 28 to 507 of the family's 1533-position model. The record is from RNAcentral.